RNAcentral lists this transfer RNA (78 nucleotides) under Acidobacteriota bacterium. Its description in RNAcentral is "Acidobacteria bacterium (soil metagenome) tRNA-Thr". It matches the Rfam family "tRNA". From Rfam's summary of the family: Transfer RNA (tRNA) molecules are approximately 80 nucleotides in length. Lineage: Bacteria; Pseudomonadati; Acidobacteriota. The record is from RNAcentral.
UGCGGCGUAGCUCAAUAGGAAAAAUAGAGCGUUCGUCUUGUAAACGAGAAGAUGUGGGUUCGACUCCCAUCGCCGCAG